AUUGAACGCUGGCGGCAUGCUUUACACAUGCAAGUCGAGCGGCAGCGCGGGGGCAACCCUGGCGGCGAGCGGCGAACGGGUGAGUAAUGCAUCGGAACGUACCCUGGAGUGGGGGAUAACGCCGCGAAAGCGGCGCUAAUACCGCAUAUGCUCUGAGGAGGAAAGUGGGGGACCGCAAGGCCUCACGCUCUGGGAGCGGCCGAUGUCCGAUUAGCUAGUUGGUGGGGUAAAGGCUUACCAAGGCGACGAUCGGUAGCUGGUCUGAGAGGAUGAUCAGCCACACUGGGACUGAGACACGGCCCAGACUCCUACGGGAGGCAGCAGUGGGGAAUUUUGGACAAUGGGGGCAACCCUGAUCCAGCCAUGCCGCGUGAGUGAAGAAGG
RNAcentral lists this ribosomal RNA (384 nucleotides) under uncultured bacterium. RNAcentral's name for it is "bacterial SSU rRNA". It matches the Rfam family "Bacterial small subunit ribosomal RNA", at positions 28 to 414 of the family's 1533-position model. The record is from RNAcentral.